Long non-coding RNA from Pseudophryne corroboree (corroboree frog), 8702 nucleotides. RefSeq lists it as uncharacterized. The record is from RefSeq and is a predicted model, not a curated record. Lineage: Eukaryota; Metazoa; Chordata; Amphibia; Anura; Myobatrachidae. The transcript is spliced from 3 exons.
UGGGUGGGGGUCUGAGGAGGACAAAGGAAACAGCAUGUGUGUGGGGAAAGUGGGCAGGGUUGAGCCAGGCUGGGACAGGGAAAGAAGUGUUGUGCUACAGGGAGAGAAAAGUCCCUGAGAGCAGGGCUGAAGACUGACUGCUGUGUGAAGUAGGGCAGGCUUCAGGGAGUGAUCACAGAUGGGUGCAGUAAUGAGCAUGUGUUGCAGCAGAAUGCCAUUGCGGGUGAAAGCUGGCACACUGAAGCAGCCACUCAAGCAGGGACCUGAGCGGCACUGAUCGGAGGACCGAGGAAUCGUGGGGCUGGACGCUGCGUGCCACUGCGGGCAGAAGCUGGCACACCACAAAGUUUCCACCGUGACUACAGGAGCCCAGCCACAGAGAGCAACCAGCUGCUGCCGAUCGGGCACGGGCUCACUCAACUCCGCUUGCCACAGGUUACUAUUCCAAAAAGUUGAAGACAUGGACCCACGGGCUUAUCGGAAAGGUUCUCUCCACGAAGGAUGCUGAUUUAGUGAGUUGUUAUGAACAAGCUAUAAUGACGGAGACUGAAGCCGCUUUCCAGGCAAUCACGUGGUCACGGAUGAUCAACGAUGACGUAGCCUAUUUUGGUUGCUUGAUGCCGCUGAACUCAUAUUACCACCUAAAUGAUUCUCAAUAAUUGAUUAUGAAUCACGUAUAUUGUCAUUUGAAGCCAAACAAGCACAACAGAGGUAUGCCAUGCACAACACUGAGGAGAUGAUCUAAGUACUAAUCAGAAUGCUACAUGUCUGAAAAUAAACUGCCCUACUCAGACACUAUCCCAGCUAAGUGGCAGCAUCUGCCAAUGAUACACGAUGAUUCAAAUAAACAUAGUGACAACAACUGUUCUGAAAUACACAGUACAAAGACCAAACAACAAUGCAAGCAAGAUUAUCAUAUACACACAGGAAUAUGAAUAUACUGCACGUACUAGUGUUAUUAUUACAGAGCCUACAAAGAAAUCAUGGAGACUAAAGAAAAAAAAUUAUAUUAAUAAGGUUAAACUGAUAUCACAACUUGACAUCAUUAUAAUCCCUGACACACAGUCUAGUCCUAUAACUAUAACAGAUAUGAGCAAGAAGACUUUUAUACAUAUAGUAUACAAAAUGGUGCAGAAACAAAAAAAAACGGGGUUAUAUGGAGUCAGCAGAUCACAGUUCUGCAGUAACAGAAGAUGUUGUUCGAGGCAUCCAAUGUGGUUACAGCUGGUGCUGAUGCAACUACGUCAGCCGAUGUAGUUAUGCCAGCUGAUGCUGAUGCAACAUCUGAUGUAGUGAACGGAUGACAAAAAUAAGAAUACACAGACAAAGAGGUGGAAAUGCUGAACAAUAUUAUGCUUUGAUGGGUAGACUUUGGAAAGAUGUCAUGUUCAUGGAGCAAAUUAAACAAUGUCAGCAUUAAUGAAGAUGUUAAUGCACAGUGGUAAUAGACCAUCAUGUAUUUUGAUGUCACGUCAAUAAUCAGAGACCACUCUGACAAAACAUUGGCAAUUGUAAAGGAAAAUAUAAAUCACUUCACUGAAGAACAGAAAUGACUAGAUAUGACGGGACAUGGAUUGAAACGUGUAUUGUCAUUCUGUAAACAAUCAAAACAAUUAAAAAGUGAUGUACUGUACUGUGAAAAUUGACAUGUAAAAAUUCAUACAGGAAAUCGAAAGUAAAAUUAUCAAUAGCUAUGUUAUCACCAUAGUAACAUGCCCAACUCAUGACUAGUGUCUGCUUUAGACUUCACAGAUGAUGAUAAUAAAGUCAUGGUGAAUUGGAAGUAUGCAAAAUAUCUUUAAGCUAAAGUUUACAAUGAAAAUAUCUUCAUGGCAGCAAUAACAACAGCAUUUACCUGUAUUGAAUUGUACAGAUGGAGUACAAUGGAUUUUUUAAACCUAUGUCCCGUCUAUGGGUUAAUUAUGAGAUCAAACACAAAGGCUUGGUACUGUAAGUCUUAUAUGAUGGAACACAUAUCUUGUAAGAUGCUUUUAUUAGAGCAGACAUGACAAAUGAAAAAAAUGUAUAUCAAAUUUAUAUUAAAUUUAUAUAAAAAAAUGGGCAUAAAGCAUGGAGCAUCAGGGGGUGUGUUAUGGGAGGAGUUAUUGGUGUGAUAGAGGUGAGGUUAGGGGCAGAGCAAUGUUCACUUUUUAUGGAAAAGUGUUCUCUCUCGACUACGGUGUACAGUACAGUAGUUGUUCACCGUCAUUUCAGUUGGGCAACAGACAACAGUCAACUCAAUGCACAAAAAAAUACUUUUUCAGUGCUGACACUAGUAGUCUUUGUAAGUGAAUGCCAGUGUACAGCCAUAUACUGGAUAAGAAAUAGUAACUGCUUGUUUACUUGCAUCAAUAGAUGCACUCAGCUCUUCUCAUGAUUAUAUCAUAGAGUGCCCCUGAAACCCACUGUCUAUUUGUAAAGGCAUGUUACAAUAUCACUGCUUCUUUGUUAAACAUCACUUCCAAAAUUGUGAAGUCCAUGAGCACAGCACAAGUCACAGUGUGUAAAUAACACGAGAUUUGUAAUGUAAAAUAUACAUUAUAUCCAGAAUAUUAUUGCUAACAUCCGAAUUCUAAAUUGUAAUAAAAGGUGUAAAAACUUUUAAUUUCAGGGCAUUGCUAGGCACCAUUAGACCAAAUAAGCCACAACGUCAGCUUUUGCACACCUAUUUUACUGAUUGCAUUUUUUUAAUGUGAUGUGAAUAUGUUUAGUACUACAGUUAUUCAUUGUCAUUUUCAGUUUGUUUGCAUACACAUACACACAUUUAGCUCUUCAUAGAAGCAGUCCUUUUUCUUGACAUAAAGAGAUCAUAUAAAAAAGUGCCCAUGAAGUCCAUUGUUCAUUUAUAAGGCAUGCAAUGGAAAUAAAAAAGGAUAAAAAAAGGAUUUCUCAAACAGCAAGCAUCAUUUGACAUUAAAUUGGAGCCUUCACAUAUGCGCAAUGACAGUUUUCAAAAGUUACACUUGGUGGAGGAGCAUGGGUAUUGCACUCGCCAGAUGCUUAAUUCUUUACACUUCGACUGUAUAUGCCACCCUGCAACCAAAAACGCUGCCCUGCAGCCAGGUGCAGACAUACUUAAUGCAACUACUUUUUCCAACUACACGUCAUUCGGAGGAUAGAUGAAUGUGGCUACAUCUGUACCUUUUGAAAUUUAUGUGUUGAUCUUCAGAAACAAACAAAGGCUGGAUCAGAGAAAAUAGCAGAAAAUAUAUAACAAAAACAAGUACAAAAACCCAAUACAAAAUAUAUAAAAUGUUUAUGCACAAUAAUGCAAAAAUUACAUUUUAUAAUUUGCACAAUAAUACAAAUUGGAGAAUUCUACUAAGGUCAUGCAGAUCAUGCAACACUUGUUGAGUUUGAGCGAGCAUAAUCUUUAGAACUUUUUGUCUACUUUGGUGUAAAUCACAGCCAAAGCUAAUUUUAAAUUAAAUAUCUAAAUGUUAAAAAUUAAAAACAUGUUGUGAGAAAAAAAAAGAAGAAGUUUAUUUGCUCAUGAAAAGGCACAUCAUCACACUGUUAUGUUUACUGUACUUGGUAAUCCUGAAAUUGGGUGGAUGAGCCCAAAGUACAGGAAUGUAAUGCUGCGACUAGAAACAGAGCUCGGCAGCGCCCCCAAGGAUCCCUAACUCCGUUGUCUCACCCUUGUUGUCAGCCUACGCCUGCGUGACUAUGGUUUCUUGGGCCCACGGCAGCCGCGUUUGAAGGACGGAUUAUGUCUGCCCAACUUCGAAGCCCCCCAGUUUUAGUUGGAGACAAGACGUAGACUGAGACAGGGCGAUGACAAGGGGAACCUCUAACUAGAGAAGGAAGUACCCAGUUAGGGUUGCUACAGAACUUAAAUAAAGUAUGUGCGGCACAGCCGCAAGGAUAAACAACAACAAAGAAAAUGCUGUCCACACGCCGACACAAUACUGUUAUGUACCGGCGGUGACAGCAUACGCAGAACCCUCUGCAGAAAAUCCAAAGCAAAAGCAACAAGUAGCUACGGACUAGGCCGAGGGAUGCGGCAAAGCCGCUACUCACAAAGCCGGUAAGAAUACUGGCAAAAGGACAGGAACCCCCAAAGUAGCUGACACAGGCUCUCAGGACCGGAAGACAGGUAGAAUUCCAAACGACAGACUAGUGUACACCAAGAAGCAGGAUACUGGAUCGGACACAGGCAAAGCCAUAGGACUCCUGGACAGGAAUGCUUCAAGGCAGGAUGCAGCUAGACAGAAGCAAUCACUGGCGUCUGUGUCAGGCAGUGAGGGAGAAUAUAACAAGGAAUACAUCCAAUCACAGCAGGGACCCUAAUUAAUUAUGUCAUGCAGCUGCCCUGCUGCACGACUCAAAACUGACAGGUGCAAUUAACAGACAGGUGAGGCUAAACACAUGGAAACAGGCUGCAAUAACACAGACUCACCACUGGCGGCCAACAAGAGUCAUCUAAACCAGAGCAAAGGAAAUCCUUGCCUGCAAGAGAACUAGAACAUAAAAUACAUGAACAGGAAUGAACCACUGCUUGUGGUUCAUAACAGUACCCUCUCCUUAAGGGUGGACACCGGACACCCCACAAAAGCCAAGGGAACAGAAACAGAAGUAAAACAUAAAAUACAUAACCAAAAUGCAAAACAGGAAUGAGCCACUGCCAUGGCUCAUAAUACACACCAUCAUAUGCAUUCCCAUAAGAAGCACAUUAAGGAUGAUAAAUCAUGUUAUAAUAUUGAUGUUCAGGUUUAUGAUGAAUAUAAAUUGGCUCCGGAAAAUGUAAACAGAGUUUACGUGCCAGGCGAAGAAAAGAGGGACAAAAACAUGACAUUCAGCCACUCUGUGAUAAGAUAAUAUAAGAUUAUUCUAGUUCCAUUAAAUACUAUCGUGUUGAUAGCUGUGACUACUGAGCAUCUGGAAAUAUAUGUUGCUAAUUAUUUAGAAUGGGCCUUUGAAAAUGAUUUAUUGAAAUUUCCAAUGGAGACUUUACACUAUUUUUUCAGCGAGUGUAUGUAAACUAUUAUGACACCAUUACCCUAGUUUGUGUGUUUGGCAAUUUAGACUGUAAGCUUUAAUAAAGCUGGAACUAAUGAGAAUUACAUUUAUUCUCAGUAUAGCGGUGCAUAAAAUGGUGGCACUAUAUAAAGAAAUAAUAAUCUUUAUGUUGGAACUAAGAUUAUACAGAUGAGUUCACACCUACCCUCAAACUGCACCAAAUCCUAUAGCCCUGUUUGGUGUGCCAUCCAAGUUAGCUUCACCAUGUGUCCCAUUAGAGACUUUUUAAAAGAAUAAACAUAAUAUUCGCAUCACUAAAGGGAAAAAUUUCAUGCACAGGUACUAUGGAUAUUGAGGUAGUCAUUUAAUCAGGGGCUUUUUAACAGAGGUGAGGUACAUGUGCAGACUCCAGGUGUGCCCCCUCCUCUUCUCAACUCAGUAGACUCUGGCAUUGUCUCUGUCUACUGCGCUUGCGCAGGUCUCCAGAAACUUGGCACCCACCAUAUUCUGGAGACUAAAACGUUACAGCGCAUGCGUGGUGGCCAUUUUAUGGUGAUUCUUUUUUUUACCAUGGAUGUAGCUUCAGUAUGGGACUCUGGAAAAGUAGAUAAUAAAACAUGGAGGUAAAUUGUGUGUGGUGUAGUCUCCCUCUACCAAGAGACAUAUGUACAUUGCACCUAUUUUAGAAAUGCCAAUGUAUUUCAUGUUAUUUAUGUGUGCAAUUCAAUUACUAAUAUGGAUAGAAGGCAAAAGACAGAUGUCCGAUAUGAGUGAACAGCACCAUGGCUCGUGCCACGCAAUAUUAUCCUUAAUCAGCAAAUUUAUACCAACCCCCUGCCAUGGUGUUGGUGUUGUAUCCUGUUAUCUUCUAGCUACUCCUAACAACUCAUACCCCCAGAACCAUCACUUACUUUAUCUACAUUUGAGGUUCAUGCUAUACGCCUGUUCCAACUUGUCCAUCCUCGAAUAGCUGUCAUUUACCAUCCCCCUGGUAUUCUCUUCAAAUUUUUGACAACUUUGCUUCCUGUCUGCCUCACUUCUACAUUCCCUCCAUGAUCUUUGGUGAUUUCAACAUCCCAGUAGCUAUCCUUACAAAAUCCCAUGCCUCUAAACUCCUUAACCUUACAUCUUCACUUGGUCACUCCGAGUGAACCUACUCCCUCUCCCAUGUGAGUGGAUACUCACUUGCUCCCAUGUGAGUGGGCACUCAUUUUAUCUGGUCUUCACUAACUGCAGUGAUAUUUAUGACUUCUCCAACUCCCCAUUCCCCCUCUCUGACCACCUGCUCUCUUUUAACUUAUCUCUCUGCUUCUCCAUCUCUACCUCAUAAGGCUACCAUCACUAAGCGUAACAUUGAAGUUAUAAACAGCACUUUGCAAUCCUUUAAAUAUGACUCACUUAUUUCUCCUAUUCUUUUUCUGAUGCCCUGAACUAGCUACUUCCCUAUAUAAUGCAUCCCUUCUGUUCUUGACUCUGUAACUCCACUGACCACUAUUCGCCCUUGCAGAUCAACACCUCAACCCUGGCACACCAAAUGCACCAGAUAUGAGUGACAGUGGAGGAAAUCACGCUUUAAAGCAGACUUCCUCCAUUUUAAACUUAUGCCCUCAUCCUUCAGUGCUGCUCUUUCCCUCGCAAAAAGUUAUACUUCAAGAACCUCAUCUCCACCCAAUCUUCAAAAGCCCAGUGCCUCUUUGCUACUGUCAACUCCCUUCUCUGCCCACACCCACCUCAUCACCCCUCCUCACUCUCUGACCUUGUUUUUUUCCACUUACUUCAGAUCCAAAACUGACUCCAUAUGUCAGGAUAUCACAUCACACAGAGCAUCAGAAACAAGCCACCUCCAUUCCCCUACCAUGCCUCCCCAUCCCUUCUACCAACUCUGCCAUCCCCUGUAUCUGGUGAGGAAGUCAUGGACCCCAUCCAUUACACCACCCCUCCACCUUACUUAACCCUAUCUAACCACUCUUGCCUCAUCCUCUUCUUUUCUUCUUAUUCCUGUUCCCAUCUUGCCGAUCUCCUCAAUCUCUCCCCCUCAUCAGGCACUGUACACUAUGCUUUCAAGCAUGCACUCAUCUCCCCUAUUAUUAAAAAAACCCACCCUUGAUCCAAUCACCAUCUCUGACUACUGAUCCUUUUGCCACCUAACUCAUUGAGCAUAUUGUCUACAACCACAUUAGUUCCUUUCUUUCCUCCUACGCACUGCUUGAACCAUUCCAGUCUGGCUUCCAUCCUCUCCACUCCACUGAAACUGUACUCAUAAAAGUCUGCAAUUGACCUCCUUCUUGUUAAACUUGAGGAGAACUACUCUCUGCUUAUUCUCCUUGACCUCUCUGCCGUUUUUAACAAUGUGGACCACUCUCUCUUUCUGCAAAUCCUUCACUCCCUUUGUCCCCAUGAUACGGCUUUCUCCUGGCUGUCCUUUUACAUAUCUGACUGUUCCUUCUCUGUCUCCUUUCAUGACUCCACCUCCCCACACUUCACAAGGGUCUAUGCUUGGUCCUCUCCUUUUCUCUCUCUAUUUGUCCUCUUUAGGUGAGCUUAUUAGCUCUUUUAACUUACAAUAUUAUCUCUAUGCUGAUAAUACUUAGAUCUACCUUUCCUCCCCUUACCUGUCCCCUGCUCUUCUCACUCAUAUCUCCAACUGUUUCACUGCUAUCUCUUCAUGGAUGUCCCAGCACUUUCUUAAACCUAACAUGUUUAAGCUCAUCAUCUUCCCACCCUCCCGCACAACCUCACCUCAUUUAAUUGUUGGCAAUACUAUCUCCUCUAGCCCCUAAGUGUGCUGUCUUGGAGUGAUCCUUGAUUAUUCCUGCUCCAUCAAAACAAACAUUCAGCACCUCUCACAAAUCAUACAUUUUAACCUCAAAAAUAUUUCCAGAAAUAGACCCUUUCUCACCCAGUAUGCUACUAAAGCACUCAUCCAUUAACUGGUCAACUCCAGACUGCACUACUGUAAUCUUCUCCUGUGUGGCAUCCCUGACAAAUGCCGCUCUCCACUCCAAUCUAUCCUCAAUACUGCAACCCAGCUCAUCUUCCUCACCAAAUGUACUAAAUCCACCUACCCCCUUAAAAUACCUUCACUGUCUCCCCUUCCCUUUCAGAAUACAAAUCAAGCUUCUCACACUGACUUACACAGCCCUCACCUACUCCUCUCCCAUUUAUAUCACUGACCUUAUCUACCUAUACACUCCCAUCCUCUUAACUCUGCUACCUACUGAUUACUUCCUUGCACUCCUACUUCCAAGGUUUGUCACGUGCUGAGAUUUUUCACAUAUCUGGAAUGCUCUACAUUUCAGACUUUGCCCCGCUCUAUAAAAUUUAUAUGGGCUCUCAAUACCCACUUCUUUACCAAACCCAGCCAACUCUCACCCUAAAACUCUGUUCUAUGCUCACUGUCUACCCCAUCUGUGUCACCCCUGUCUGUCUGCCCCCACGCCCCCUUAGAAUGUAAGCUCUCAUGAGCAGGACUCUCUUGCCUUAUAUGCCUUUCCUUCUCUUUCUUAAAUCAUCGUCUAAUCCAUUCUCCCUUUGACAGCACCAAACCCCUCAGUUUUCUGCAACCCUAAUAGUUAUUUUAGUGUUAUGUGCUGAUGCAGCUAUGUUUAUAUACCUUGUACUUGUCUUGUCUUAAACUGUAAGUCACUUUUUUUUGGAAUAUUUGUUUAUAUACUCUGUAACUGGCUGCUGCGAAACCCUUGCUGUGCAAUAUAAAUAAAGGAUAUUAAUAAUAAAACGAA